This is a long non-coding RNA of Eriocheir sinensis (Chinese mitten crab), 770 nucleotides long. RefSeq lists it as uncharacterized. The record is from RefSeq and is a predicted model, not a curated record. Lineage: Eukaryota; Metazoa; Arthropoda; Malacostraca; Decapoda; Varunidae. The transcript has 3 exons.
AAGAAGGGUCAGACCACCACCAGGGACAUAAAACUACCCCUGGAAAUGCCCAAAACUCCUACGAAAGCCUUGUCCUAUAUGUGCUUGGGCGGGGAAAUGUUUAACAAGAACAUGAACUCCCUCCCUCAGCCAGCCCGCAGCCUCAACCCUUCCGAGAGCUCAGUGCCGCGUGAACCGUGAUUGAGGGUGGAUGUUUCGCUCCACCUCCAAAGCCUUCCCGCCUGGGCUAUCGUUCCCGUAUAAGGAGUUUCCACAGUAAAGCGAUUCAUGCGGAGUGCUGGAGGUGUGCUGAGGGGCUGCUGAGUGUGCUGAUGCUUGGCUUGGUUAAUAGUGUGAGGACAAAGAAAGGACAAGGCAGCGCGGAAGGGUCCCUGAUAUCCCGCGGGAACUCGUCGAGGUCAGCGGGGAGUGAAGAGACAAACACAAACACGCGCACCGCCGCCUGAAGCUUGUGUUGGCAGGCCGGUGAGGAGCCAGAGCCGCCCGCCUGCCACAUGUCCUGCCGAAUUAGUCACCGGAACAACACGACCUCGGCCCAAGAGAAAGUGUGAGUCUACGCUACGCUUUACAGAGGCGAGUAGAAUAUAUGUUGUUUCGUUUACACUUGUAGAGGUAUUUUCAACACUUGGCUGUCACCCUAGAGAACAUGAAUAAGGAACGUACAUGAGAGUCAACUAGGAGCAUAACGCUUUACAGAGAGAGAAAGUGGGAGAAAAAGAAAGGAAAACGAGAGGAAAAAGAGGAGAAACAGGAAAGGGAGAAGAGAAAGA